RNAcentral lists this long non-coding RNA (231 nucleotides) under Lathyrus oleraceus (garden pea). Its description in RNAcentral is "Pisum sativum (pea) long non-coding RNA (PSAT_LNC013126)". Lineage: Eukaryota; Viridiplantae; Streptophyta; Magnoliopsida; Fabales; Fabaceae. The record is from RNAcentral.
UUCCUCGUUCAUUCCAAGCCUACGAGCUUGUGCUCAAAAGACUUUCUCCUAUACACUCUAAUCCAAGGGCAAGUGGACUCCCAAAUAUGAAGGACCCUUUGUUGUCAAAAAGGCCUUCUCAUAGGGGAUCUCAUUCUCACCAUAAUGGAUGGGGGUGACUUUCCGAUGUCGGUAAACUCAGAUAUAGUCAAAAAAAUAUUAUGCCUAGAAAAAAAAGAACACAAAGCCCAC